This 471-nucleotide ribosomal RNA is filed under the name uncultured bacterium. Its description in RNAcentral is "bacterial SSU rRNA". It matches the Rfam family "Bacterial small subunit ribosomal RNA", at positions 8 to 526 of the family's 1533-position model. The record is from RNAcentral.
AGGGUUCGAUCAUGGCUCAGGAUGAACGCUGGCGGCGUGCUUAACACAUGCAAGUCGAACGAACCUUCGGGUUAGUGGCGGACGGGUGGGUAACGCGUGAGAAUCUGCCCUCAGGAGGGGGAUAACGGUUGGAAACGACCGCUAAUACCCCAUAUGCCUACUGGUGAAAUGAAUUUCGCCUGAGGAUGAGCUCGCGUCUGAUUAGCUAGUUGGUGAGGUAAUGGCUCACCAAGGCUUCGAUCAGUAGCUGGUCUGAGAGGAUGAUCAGCCACACUGGGACUGAGACACGGCCCAGACUCCUACGGGAGGCAGCAGUGGGGAAUUUUCCGCAAUGGGCGAAAGCCUGACGGAGCAACGCCGCGUGAGGGACGAAGGCCUCUGGGCUGUAAACCUCUUUUCUCAAGGAAGAAGAUAUGACGGUACUUGAGGAAUAAGCCACGGCUAAUUCCGUGCCAGCCGCCGCGGUAAUUC